Molecule: long non-coding RNA, 442 nt
Organism: Eptesicus fuscus (big brown bat)
Lineage: Eukaryota; Metazoa; Chordata; Mammalia; Chiroptera; Vespertilionidae
Exons: 2
Source: RefSeq, a predicted model, not a curated record
UCUAGUGCUUUGCGAACGUCUCCCGAAACAGCAGAGACCUUCCGGGCACAGAACUGAAUUGCGGCACUGUCCAGGACCUGAUCUCUGGACACCUUCGGACAAAACACGGACGGUGACAGUCUGAACUACGAGAGUCCCCCGCUUUGCAGCCGAUCGGGGACAGCUGUAUUCAGGACCAGCUUUGCUUGCUGGUAGCAAGUGCCUGUGCCAGACAUGAAAGGACAAUUAGAUACAACAGAGGCGACGGAGAAGACCCGAUGGGUUUCAUCUGGGUUUCCCAGCCUUGUUUAAAGGCUGCACGAAUAGCUGCUGUGAAAGAACGAACCUUCUUGCUUAAACAGCUUCAGACACGCAGAUUCCUUCUCCGGUGGACGUCUCUGCUCAGAAUGUGUUGUGAUGUCUUGACCUUUGCGAACAGAGGAACAUAUUUUGUUUUGGUGAA